Molecule: ribosomal RNA, 253 nt
Filed under: uncultured bacterium
Lineage: Bacteria
Description: partial 16S ribosomal RNA
Rfam family: Bacterial small subunit ribosomal RNA
Source: RNAcentral
UACAGAGGGUGCGAGCGUUGUCCGGAAUCACUGGGCGUAAAGGGCGCGUAGGCGGCCUGAUAAGUAGGGGGUGAAAUCCUGCGGCUUAACCGCAGGGCUGCCUUCUAAACUGUCGGGCUCGAGCACAGUAGAGGCAGGUGGAAUUCCCGGUGUAGCGGUGGAAUGCGUAGAGAUCGGGAAGAACACCGGUGGCGAAGGCGGCUCACUGGCUCGUAUCUGACGCUCAGGCGCGACAGCGUGGGGAUCAAACAGG